Molecule: ribosomal RNA, 200 nt
Filed under: uncultured bacterium
Lineage: Bacteria
Description: partial 16S ribosomal RNA
Rfam family: Bacterial small subunit ribosomal RNA
Source: RNAcentral
AGAGUUUGAUCCUGGCUCAGAACGAACGUUGGCGGCGUGGAUUAGGCAUGCAAGUCGAACGAAUCCCAGUUGCGUAGCAAUACGUGGCUGGGGGAAGUGGCGAAAGGGGCAGUAAGGCAUGGCUAACCUACCUCGGGGAUGGGGAUAGCCUCCCUAACGGGAGGGUAAUACCCGGCGAUUUGGCGGAGGGGCAUCUCUCU